CUUUACUAGAACUCCACAGCAGCACAGAAAAACAACCAAUCAGAAAAAAAGUUAGGUACUAUAAAACCCCCUUCCCAUUGCAUCACUUCCUCUUUCAAGCUGCGACAAAACAGAACAAAGGCAGAAAAAAUAAUGGGAAGCAGCGAAGUCCAGAUACGAUGAAUACAGCAAUGUCCAAUGUCUGAGAAGAACUGUCAACUGGAUAGCGUUGAUGGAC
This is a non-coding RNA of Pelobates cultripes (western spadefoot toad), 217 nucleotides long. The record is from the annotation of a GenBank genome assembly. NCBI's taxonomy places the organism in Eukaryota, Metazoa, Chordata, Amphibia, Anura, Pelobatidae.